RNAcentral lists this ribosomal RNA (218 nucleotides) under Psychodopygus amazonensis. RNAcentral describes it as "partial 16S ribosomal RNA". Lineage: Eukaryota; Metazoa; Arthropoda; Insecta; Diptera; Psychodidae. The record is from RNAcentral.
GAUCUUUAUAUAUUAAAUAAUUUAUAAAUAUUAGUUAUUUUUUUUUUAAAAAUUAUUAAUAUAUUAUAUUGGGGUAAUAAUAAAAUUUAAAAAAUUUUUAUUUUUUAAUUUCAAUUAUAAUUGAUUUUUUGAUCCAGUAUUAUUGAUUAUAAAGUUAAGUUACCUUAGGGAUAACAGCGUAAUGAUUUUUGAGAGUUCUUAUCGAUAAAAUAGUUUGU